Molecule: RNA transcript, 4399 nt
Organism: Gorilla gorilla gorilla (western lowland gorilla)
Lineage: Eukaryota; Metazoa; Chordata; Mammalia; Primates; Hominidae
Gene: NMNAT1
Gene name: nicotinamide nucleotide adenylyltransferase 1
Exons: 6
Source: RefSeq, a predicted model, not a curated record
GAGAGUGCGACCGAGAUGUUCCACUCGCUGGCGUCCGGGCCGCUGGUGAUCUCCGGUAGCACUCGGGCCGGCGGACAGUGAGGGCGCGACAACAAGGGAGGUGUCACAGUUUUCCAUUUAGAUCAACAACUUCAAGUUCUUACCAUGGAAAAUUCCGAGAAGACUGAAGUGGUUCUCCUUGCUUGUGGUUCAUUCAAUCCCAUCACCAACAUGCACCUCAGGUUGUUUGAGCUGGCCAAGGACUACAUGAAUGGAACAGGAAGGUACACAGUUGUCAAAGGCAUCAUCUCUCCUGUUGGUGAUGCCUACAAGAAGAAAGGACUCAUUCCUGCCUAUCACCGGGUCAUCAUGGCAGAACUUGCUACCAAGAAUUCUAAAUGGGUGGAAGUUGAUACAUGGGAAAGUCUUCAGAAGGAGUGGAAAGAGACUCUGAAGGUGCUAAGACACCAUCAAGAGAAAUUGGAGGCUAGUGACUGUGAUCACCAGCAGAACUCACCUACUCUAGAAAGGCCUGGAAGGAAGAGGAAGUGGACUGAAACACAAGAUUCUAGUCAAAAGAAAUCCCUAGAGCCAAAAACAAAAGCUGUGCCAAAGGUCAAGCUGCUGUGUGGGGCAGAUUUAUUGGAGUCCUUUGCUGUUCCCAAUUUGUGGAAGAGUGAAGACAUCACCCAAAUCGUGGCCAACUAUGGGCUCAUAUGUGUUACUCGGGCUGGAAAUGAUGCUCAGAAGUUUAUCUAUGAAUCGGAUGUGCUGUGGAAACACCGGAGCAACAUUCACGUGGUGAAUGAAUGGAUCGCUAAUGACAUCUCAUCCACAAAAAUCCGGAGAGCCCUCAGAAGGGGCCAGAGCAUUCGCUACUUGGUACCAGAUCUUGUCCAAGAAUACAUUGAAAAGCAUAAUUUAUACAGCUCUGAGAGUGAAGACAGGAAUGCUGGGGUCAUCCUGGCCCCUUUGCAGAGAAACACUGCAGAAGCUAAGACAUAGGGAUUCUACAGCAUGAUAUUUCAGACUUCCCAUUUGGGGAUCUGAAACAAUCUGGGAGUUAAUAACUGGGGAAAGAAGUUGUGAUCUGUUGCCUAAACUAAAGCUUAAAAGUUUAGUAAAAAUCGUCUGGGCACAGUGGCUCACGCCUGUAAUCCCAGCACUUUGGGAGGCUGAGGCAGGUGGAUCACGGGGUCAAGAGAUCGAGACCAUCCUGGCCAAUAUGGUGAAACCCCAUCUCUACUAAAAAUACAAAAUUAGCUGUGUGUGGUGGCACGUGCCUGUAGUCCCAGCUACUUGGGAGGCUGAGGCAGGAGAAUCGCUUGACCCCAGGUGGUGGAGGUUGCAGUGAGCCAAGAUUGCGCCAUUGCACUCCAGCCUGGCGACAGAGCAAGACUCUGUCUCAAAAAAAAAAAAAAAAUUUAGUAAAAAUCAAUGGUAAGCUAAAAUAAGUUUUUGUUUGUUUAUUUGUUUUUGAGAUGGAGUCUCUACUAAAAAUACAAAAAAUUAGCCGGGCAUGGUGCUGCAUAACUGUAAUCCCAGCUACUUGGGAGGCUGAGGCAGGAGAAUCACUUGAACCCGGGAGACACAGGUUCCAGUGAGCCAAGGUUGUGCCACUGCACUCCAGCCUGGGCAAAAAGGCAAAACUCCAUCUCAAAAAGGAAAAAAAAAAGACUGGGUGUGGUGGCUCACACCUGUAAUCCCAGCACUUUGGGAGGCCUAAGUGGGUGGAUCACAUGAGGUCAAGAGUUCAAGACCAGCCUGGCCAAUAUGGGGAAACCCCAUCUCUACUAAGAAUACAAAAAAUUAGCCGAGCAUGGUGGUGGGCUCCUGUAGUCCCAGCUACUUGGGAGGCUGAGGCAGGAGAAUCGCUUGAACCUGGGAGGCAGAGGUUGCAGUAAGCCAAGAUCGUGCCAUUGCACUCCAGCCUGGGUGACAGAGCGAGACUCCAUCCAAAAAAAAAAAAAAAAAGCCUGACAGCUAGCAGGUUUCAGGAUCCAUCUGCCAAGUUAGUGAAAGGCUGGAGCCUCAAAUCACAGAGAUGAGGGUCAUUUUCUCCUCCUUAGCUUCUUGGAGUUUAAGAGUUGAAGGAGUCCUGAAAAGUAAUGAUAGAGCAAGAUGAAGCUAUCAGAACUGAAUUUGGACUUCCUCUGGGAAACUACACCUAGUUCAUCUGAAGUGUCACGUAAACUGCAGAAAGGUUCCAAUGCUGGAAACUUCUCUCAUACUGUCAUGCCUUCCUACUCAGAAGUGCCUGUGCCCUGCUCAGCUGUGACUACUGACCUCAGGACCUCACUGGACAAGGCAUGUGGGGACCCUUGCAGGAGCCCUGGCCUAUGAUCUAAACAUUUCACCACGGCAUCCACUCAGCUGUGAGGCUGCAUACACAGUCUCCACCUCUGAAAUCUGAACUUCGUUUACCAGUGGUGCUGUUUGAACUUCAUAAUGUCAGCACUUCCUGAACACUUACUGUGUGCUUGGCUUGUGCUCCUGAGUGCCUUAUAUCAUAAGGAAACGGCAAAAUCAGGGGACUGGUAUAAAUGGUGAGCUGGGCUUGAAUCUAAGCUUUGUCUUCAGAGCCAGUACCCCAAUCUCUCUUUCUGUAAAAUAUUAUUUUUCAAAGAAUGAAGUUGUAGCCAAAUCUUGAAAUUUUUCAUUUACCCUAAGUGAGGACAAAUAAAGCUUUCAACAACAGUUUGUGGUAGUCUGAUGGAGAUGAGUCCAACGUAUUCAGUCCUCACAGAAGGACUAGGCUGAACUUGCCCAGUGUUAGCAAUUCCUUGGAACUAGAACAGUGGAAUCCGAGGGAGAAGGUGAUAUGGGCCAUAAUUAACUUUUGUGUGUGUGUGUGUGUGUGUGUAUGUAUAUGUGUGUUUGCUUCUGAGACAGUUUUGCUGUGUCGCCCAGGCUGGAGUGCAGUGGCACAGUCUCAGCUCACUGCAACCUCUGCCUCCUGGGUUCAAGCAAUUCUCCUGCUUCAGCCUCCCAAGGGGCUGGGAUUACAGGCGUGUGUUACCACGCCUGGCUAAUUUUUGUAUUUUCAGUAGAGACAGGGUUUCACCGUGAUGGCCAAGCUGGUCUCAAACUCCUGGCCUCAAAUGAUCCACCCACCUCGGCCUCCCAAAGUGCUGGAAUUACAGGUGUGAGCCAUCACGCUCUGCCCAGAUAGGGUUUUUGACCUGUCAUAGUGGUGCCUGGUCCCAUUAUUCUCUGUUUUGACUCUGCAGGGAUGAUCGCUGUCCCCUUGCUAUCCUUUAAUAAAACUGUCACCUCGGUUUCAGAACUGGAAUUCAGAUCCAUUUCUCCCUCAUGUGUCUUACCAAGUCUAAAUGACUUGCCAUGGACAGUGUUUCCCAAAUCAAGUUAAGCUGCCCAAUAAAUUUUUCCAAAACAAUGGAUAACCUGACAAUUACAUUGUAAAACAUUAGGGAAAAUAGCAAACACACAAAAUUAGUGGUAAUAGUGUAAUGAGCCCCUACGUACCCAUCAACUUCAAGCGUAACAUUUUGCCAAUCUUCAUCUACACCUGUUUUGUUUUGCUGGAGUCUUUUAAAGCAAAUCCCAAAUGUGUAAUUUUACCCAUAAAUACUUCAGUGUGAGGAAUGCUAGAGUCCAAUUUGUACAUUAAUACAAGUAUAUCAGCUAGUGCCGGCGUGGUGGCUCAGCCAGGCUUGGUGGCUCACAUCUGUAAUCCCAGCACUUUGGAAGGCCAAGGUGGAAGGAUUGCUUGAGCCCAGGAGUUCAAGAACAGCCUGCGUAACAUAGCAAGAUCCUAUCUUUAGAAAAACAAACAAACAAAAAACAUGUACUGGCUGGGCACAGUGGCUCACGCCUGUAAUCUUAGAAAUUUGGGAAUCAGAGGCAGCAGAUUGUUUGAGCCCAGGAAUUCUAGACUAGCCUGGGCAACAUGGCAAAACCCUGUCUCUACCAAAAAUACAAAAAUUAGCUGAGUGUGGUGGUGUGUGCCUGUAGGCCCAGCUACUCAGGAGGCUGAGGUGAGAGGAUGGUUUGAGCACAGGAGGCGGAGGUUACAGUGAGCUGAGAUUGCGCCAUUGCACUCCAGCCCGGGUGACAGAGCCAGACCCUGUCUCAAAAAACAAAACACGGCUGGGCAUGGUGGCUCACACCUGUAAUCCCAGCACUUUGGGAGGCCAAGGUGGGUGGAUCACCUGAGGUCAGGAGUUCAAGACCAGCCUGGCCAACAUGGUGAAACCCCGUCUCUACUAAAAAUACAAAAAAUUAUACGGGUGUGGUGGCAGGCACCUGUAAUUCCAGCUACUUCGGAGGCUGAGGCAGGAGAAUUGCUUGAACCCAGGAGGCAGAGGUUGCAGUGAGCCCCAAUCAUGACACUGCAUUCCAGCCUGGGCAACAAGAGCAAAAACUCCCUCUCAACAAACAAAAACAAAACAAGUGUACU